Molecule: small nuclear RNA, 102 nt
Organism: Leptonychotes weddellii (Weddell seal)
Lineage: Eukaryota; Metazoa; Chordata; Mammalia; Carnivora; Phocidae
Source: RefSeq, a predicted model, not a curated record
GCUCACUUCAGCGGAACGUAUACUGAAAUCGGAAUGAUACAGAGAUUAGCAUGGCCCCUGCCUAAGGAUGACAUGCGAAUUUGUGAAGAGUUCCAUCUUUUU